GAUGAACGCUGGCGGCGUGCCUAAUACAUGCAAGUCGAGCGAACAGACGAGGAGCUUGCUCCUCUGACGUUAGCGGCGGACGGGUGAGUAACACGUGGAUAACCUACCUAUAAGACUGGGAUAACUUCGGGAAACCGGAGCUAAUACCGGAUAAUAUAUUGAACCGCAUGAUUCAAUAGUGAAAGACGGUUUUGCUGUCACUUUUAGAUGGAUCCGCGCCGCAUUAGCUAGUUGGUAAGGUAACGGCUUACCAAGGCAACGAUGCGUAGCCGACCUGAGAGGGUGAUCGGCCACACUGGAACUGAGACACGGUCCAGACUCCUACGGGAGGCAGCAGUAGGGAAUAUUCCGCAAUGGGCGAAAGCCUGACGGAGCAACGCCGCGUGAGUGAUGAAGGUCUUCGGAUCGUAAAACUCUGUUAUUAGGGAAGAACAAAUGUGUAAGUAACUAUGCACGUCUUGACGGUACCUAAUCAGAAAGCCACGGCUAACUACGUG
RNAcentral lists this ribosomal RNA (497 nucleotides) under uncultured bacterium. RNAcentral describes it as "partial 16S ribosomal RNA". It matches the Rfam family "Bacterial small subunit ribosomal RNA", at positions 28 to 507 of the family's 1533-position model. The record is from RNAcentral.